RNAcentral lists this ribosomal RNA (433 nucleotides) under uncultured bacterium. RNAcentral's name for it is "partial 16S ribosomal RNA". It matches the Rfam family "Bacterial small subunit ribosomal RNA", at positions 29 to 507 of the family's 1533-position model. The record is from RNAcentral.
AACGAACGCUGGCGGCAUGCCUAACACAUGCAAGUCGAACGAGACCUUCGGGUCUAGUGGCGCACGGGUGCGUAACGCGAGGGAACCUGCCCUUAGGUUCGGCAUAACCCCCCGAAAGGGGUGCUAAUACCGGAUAAUGUCUUCGGACCAAUGAUUUAUCGCACUUGGAUGGGUCCGCGUUGGAUUAGCUAGUUGGUAGGGUAAAAGCCUACCACGGCGACGAUCCAUAGCUGGUCUGAGAGGAUGAUCAGCCACACUGGGAGUGAGACACGGCCCAGACUCCUACGGGAGGGAGCAGAGGGGGAUGGAGGACAAUGGGCGGAGGCAUGAACCAGCAAGGCCGGGAGAGUGAUGAAGGCAGUAGGGAUGUAAAGCUCGUGUACCCGGGAGGAUAAUGACAGUACCGGGAGAAUAAGCUACGGCUAACUCCGUG